This is a long non-coding RNA of Suricata suricatta (meerkat), 458 nucleotides long. RefSeq lists it as uncharacterized. The record is from RefSeq and is a predicted model, not a curated record. The transcript has 2 exons. Lineage: Eukaryota; Metazoa; Chordata; Mammalia; Carnivora; Herpestidae.
CAGGGCUGAAAACUGGGUGGGCCAGUGGUGCCAGAGGCCGGAGGGAGUCGCCACCCACAUUCAGUGACACAUGGCCUUUCCAGGCUUGUUCAGUUGUGCCUCUUCCCGAAGCUGCUGUGGAGCCCAGCGGUCAUGGAGGAAGGACAGAGCAGAGUCGGUCCUGGCACCCAUGCAGAGCAUCCAGGAGGAGGCAUCAGAGACCUGGGCCGCGCCUGGGCCUGUACAAACAUGCUGAGCAUCUCACUGGGAGGCAGCCGGGGAGGCACAACCAUGACAAAACCCGGCCCCGUGGCUAUGGACGCUGACACAACAGUCACCAGGGGGGACGUGGCCUUUGCCAAAAAGCCACAUGACUUACUCACUCAUGCCCCUUGGGGAUUCUGACAAAUCCCAGAAAAUGGUGUGCAUCAACACAUCCCUCCCUGGACGACACCAUUAAAAUUGAGGCAUUGAUUUCA